CACCAAUCAAGCCACGCUUGGUAUUGGGUGCCCGGCCCCCGCCUCCCCCGCGGCGGGCCCACCCCAAAGUCAUCGGCGAGGACUGAGACCCCCGGCGUGUUAGAGACAUCUGACGCCGGGAGCACCUCUGCGCCUCCGCCGCGAAAGAAGACCCAUUAAAA
This 161-nucleotide unclassified non-coding RNA is filed under the name uncultured Dothideomycetes. Its description in RNAcentral is "sequence contains ITS2". The record is from RNAcentral. Lineage: Eukaryota; Fungi; Ascomycota; Dothideomycetes.